CUACGGGGGGCUCCAGUGAGGAAUAUUGCACAAUGGGGGCAACCCUGAUGCAGCAACGCCGCGUGGAGGAUGACGCAUUUCGGUGUGUAAACUCCUUUUAUCAGAGAAGAACCAUGACGGUAUCUGAUGAAUAAGCUCCGGCUAACUCCGUGCCAGCAGCCGCGGUAAUACGGAGGGAGCAAGCGUUAUUCGGAAUCACUGGGCGUAAAGGACGCGUAGGCCGGUCUGUAAGUCAGGUGUGAAAUGCAAUGGCUCAACCAUUGAACUGCACUUGAAACUGCGGACCUAGGGUAUGAAGGGGCAGAUGGAAUUAGUGGUGUAGGGGUAAAAUCCGUAGAUAUCACUAGGAAUACCGAAAGCGAAGGCGAUCUGCUGGGACAUAACUGACGCUGAGGCGUGAAAGCGUGGGGAGCAAACAGGAUUAGAUACCCGUGUAGUC
RNAcentral lists this ribosomal RNA (439 nucleotides) under uncultured bacterium. RNAcentral's name for it is "partial 16S ribosomal RNA". It matches the Rfam family "Bacterial small subunit ribosomal RNA", at positions 339 to 795 of the family's 1533-position model. The record is from RNAcentral.